CUUGGUCAUUUAGAGGAAGUAAAAGUCGUAACAAGGUUUCCGUAGGUGAACCUGCGGAAGGAUCAUUCAUAAUAAAGUGUUUUAUGGCACUUUUUUAAAAAAUCCAUAUCCACCUUGUGUGCAAUGUUUUUUAGAUCUAGCCAAAAUGAUAUUUUGGUUAGGUUUUAUUAUAUUACAUCAACUCUUAUUUAACUUGAUUUGUCUGAAAAAUAUUAUGAAUUUUUUAACUUAAUUCAAAAUACAACUUUCAACAACGGAUCUCUUGGUUCUGGCAUCGAUGAAGAACGCAGCGAAAUGCGAUAAGUAAUGUGAAUUGCAGAAUUCAGUGAAUCAUCGAAUCUUUGAACGCACAUUGCGCCCGGCAGUAAUCUGCCGGGCAUGCCUGUCCGAGCGUCAUUUCACCCCUCGAGCCGCUUUUAGUGAUCGGGUGUUGGGGCACUACGGUAAAACGUAGGCCCCGAAAUGAAGUGGCGGUCCCGCCGCGGUGCCCCCAUGCGUAGUAACGUUUAGUCUCGCAUCGGGUCCCGGCGGAGGCCUGCCGUCAAGCCUUUUAUUCUCAGAAUAGUUUGACCUCGGAUCAGGUAGGGUUACCCGCUGAACUUAAGCAUAUCAAUAAGCGGAGGA
This 624-nucleotide ribosomal RNA is filed under the name uncultured fungus. Its description in RNAcentral is "eukaryotic LSU rRNA". The stretch from base 243 to 396 matches the Rfam family "5.8S ribosomal RNA". The record is from RNAcentral. Lineage: Eukaryota; Fungi.